RNAcentral lists this unclassified non-coding RNA (723 nucleotides) under Neckeropsis crinita. Its description in RNAcentral is "sequence contains 18S rRNA gene, ITS1, 5.8S rRNA gene, ITS2". The stretch from base 303 to 455 matches the Rfam family "5.8S ribosomal RNA". The record is from RNAcentral. Lineage: Eukaryota; Viridiplantae; Streptophyta; Bryopsida; Hypnales; Neckeraceae.
UUGCACACACGAGUUGCAGCCAACCCGCGGCGAACGAACACAUUGUCCCACUCGGUGGGUCGCGGCGCCUCGCGGCGGCGCGGCCGGCCACCUCCCCUCGUCACGAGCUUCGCCACGGACGAACUCGCGGCGUCGGGUUUCCACGCGAUGCCUUCACCUUGAUCGAAUGACUGAGUCCCUCGACUUCGUAGGAGUGAGUUCCGUCCCCCCCCUCGGCGCGGCUCGGCUUUGGCUGACUUUGCGAAUGGAGGGGGGUCGGCGCUGGUUACCUUGCGAGUUGUGAAACGUAACCUUACACAAACAACUCUCAGCAACGGAUAUCUUGGCUCUUGCAACGAUGAAGAACGCAGCGAAAUGCGAUACGUAUUGUGAAUUGCAGAAUUCCGCGAAUCAUCGAGUCUUUGAACGCAAGUUGCGCCCGAGGCUUGUCCAAGGGCAUUUCCGCUAGAGCGUCACCGCGCCCCCCACCGAUCCGCUCCCGCUGGGAGUCGUGUCGAGUGGAAGUGGCCGUCCCGGCGGGCGCCUCGCGCCUCAAGCAAGGGUCGGCUGAAAUGGAGGGAAUCGGGCCGCCGUGGCGACACAGUCCGCGAUCGGGUGAUUUUCGGGCUCCUCCGGGAACCCGGGAUUUUUCUAAGUGCGUGGCUGCGUCGCCCAGUCGGCUGUGGGUUGUUACCUCAUGCAGGUCGGGCGCGCCCGCGCGGCGCGCGUCACGCAUCAGACCUC